UGGUGGAGUGAUUUGUCUGCUUAAUUGCGAUAACGAACGAGACCUUAACCUGCUAACUAGUUACGCGAACCUCCGCGUUCGUGGCCAACUUCUUAGAGGGACUUUUGCGUGUUUUAACCAAAGGAAGUUUGAGGCAAUAACA
This 142-nucleotide ribosomal RNA is filed under the name uncultured eukaryote. Its description in RNAcentral is "partial 18S ribosomal RNA". It matches the Rfam family "Eukaryotic small subunit ribosomal RNA", at positions 1299 to 1458 of the family's 1831-position model. The record is from RNAcentral.